GUGGGGAAUCUUGCGCAAUGGGCGAAAGCCUGACGCAGCCAUGCCGCGUGAAUGAUGAAGGUCUUAGGAUUGUAAAAUUCUUUCACCGGGGACGAUAAUGACGGUACCCGGAGAAGAAGCCCCGGCUAACUUCGUGCCAGCAGCCGCGGUAAUACGAAGGGGGCUAGCGUUGCUCGGAAUUACUGGGCGUAAAGGGCGCGUAGGCGGACAGUUUAGUCAGAGGUGAAAGCCCAGGGCUCAACCUUGGAAUUGCAUUUGAUACUGGCUGUCUUGAGUACGGGAGAGGUGAGUGGAACUCCGAGUGUAGAGGUGAAAUUCGUAGAUAUUCGGAAUAACACCAGUGGCGAAGGCGACUCACUGGCCCGUUACUGACGCUGAGGCGCGAAAGCGUGGGGAGCAAACAGGAUUAGAUACCCGUGUAGUCC
Molecule: ribosomal RNA, 425 nt
Filed under: uncultured bacterium
Lineage: Bacteria
Description: partial 16S ribosomal RNA
Rfam family: Bacterial small subunit ribosomal RNA
Source: RNAcentral